Molecule: ribosomal RNA, 637 nt
Filed under: uncultured bacterium
Lineage: Bacteria
Description: bacterial SSU rRNA
Rfam family: Bacterial small subunit ribosomal RNA
Source: RNAcentral
GCUCAACCGGGGAGGGUCAUUGGAAACUGGGGAACUUGAGUGCAGAAGAGGAGAGUGGAACUCCACGUGUAGCGGUGAAAUGCGUAGAGAUGUGGAGGAACACCAGUGGCGAAGGUGACUCUCUGGUCUGUAACUGACGCUGAGGCGCGAAAGCGUGGGGAGCGAACAGGAUUAGAUACCCUGGUAGUCCACGCCGUAAACGAUGAGUGCUAAGUGUUAGAGGGUUUCCGCCCUUUAGUGCUGCAGCAAACGCAUUAAGCACUCCGCCUGGGGAGUACGGUCGCAAGACUGAAACUCAAAGGAAUUGACGGGGGCCCGCACAAGCGGUGGAGCAUGUGGUUUAAUUCGAAGCAACGCGAAGAACCUUACCAGGUCUUGACAUCCUCUGACAACCCUAGAGAUAGGGCUUCCCCUUCGGGGGCAGAGUGACAGGUGGUGCAUGGUUGUCGUCAGCUCGUGUCGUGAGAUGUUGGGUUAAGUCCCGCAACGAGCGCAACCCUUGAUCUUAGUUGCCAGCAUUCAGUUGGGCACUCUAAGGUGACUGCCGGUGACAAACCGGAGGAAGGUGGGGAUGACGUCAAAUCAUCAUGCCCCUUAUGACCUGGGCUACACACGUGCUACAAUGCGCAGAACAAAG